GAUGUUGGCUUAGAAGCAGCCAUACAUUUAAAGAGUGCGUAAUAGCUCACUGGUCAAGUGGUAGAGCGCCGAAAAUGAACGGGGCUAAAAUCUAAUACCGAAGCUGUGGACUAAUUAAAUUAGUGGUAGAGGAGCAUUGUGUAAGGGGUGAAGCUAAGUUGGAAGACGAAGUGGACUUUACAGAAGAGAGAAUGCUGGCAUGAGUAGCGAAAAGGAGGGUGAGAAUCCCUCCCGUCGAAAGCCUAAGGAUUCCUGAGGAAGGCUCGUCCUCUCAGGGUAAGUCGGGACCUAAGCCCAGGCUGAAAAGCGUAAGCGAUGGACAACAGGUUGAGAUUCCUGUACUAUCUUUGAAUGUUUGAGAGAAGUACUGACGCAGGAGGAUAUGUUGAGCGUGUGAAUGGUAGAGCACGUCUAAGCAAGUAGGUAGAGAAUAGAGGCAAAUCCCUAUUCUUAAUAUCGAGAUGUGAUGGGGAGCGAAAAACAAGUAGUGAAGCAACAAAUUCCAAACUGCCAAGAAAAGGUACUAUUGAGUGAGAAGAUACCCGUACCAAAACCGACACAGGUAGGCAAGGAGAGAAUCCUAAGACGCGCGGAAGAACCUUUGUUAAGGAACUCGGCAAAAUGACCCCGUAACUUCGGGAGAAGGGGUACCAUUAGAUGUGAUAUACAUACGUAUGGAGCAUAGAGUGGUCGCAGAGAAUAGGCCCAAGCAACUGUUUACCAAAAACACAAGUCUCUGCUAAAUCGAAAGAUGAAGUAUAGGGGCUGACACCUGCCCGGUGCUGGAAGGUUAAGGGGAAAUGUUAGAGCAAUCGAAGCAUAGAACUUAAGCCCCAGUAAACGGCGGCCGUAACUAUAACGGUCCUAAGGUAGCGAAAUUCCUUGUCGGGUAAGUUCCGACCCGCACGAAAGGUGUAAUGAUUUGGGCACUGUCUCAACAAAGGAUCCGGUGAAAUUGUAGUAGUCGUGAAGAUGCGACUUACCCACGAUAGGACGGAAAGACCCCGUGGAGCUUUACUGUAGGCUGGCAUUGGAAUUUGGUAUUAAAUGUACAGGAUAGGUGGGAGACUAAGAAGCGAGAGCGCCAGUUUUCGUGGAGUCAAUGUUGGGAUACCACUCUUUUGAUACUAAAUUUCUAACUUGAUACUCUGAAGCGAGUAUAAGGACACUGUCAGUUGGGCAGUUUGACUGGGGCGGUCGCCUCCUAAAGAGUAACGGAGGCGUUCAAAGGUUCCCUCAGAAUGGAUGGAAAUCAUUCUAAGAGUGCAAAGGCAAAAGGGAGCUUAACUGCGACACCAACAAGUGGAGCAGAUAGGAAACUAGGACUUAGUGAUCCGGUGGUACCGAGUGGAAGGGCCAUCGCUCAACGGAUAAAAGCUA
This 1380-nucleotide ribosomal RNA is filed under the name human oral metagenome. RNAcentral describes it as "bacterial LSU rRNA". It matches the Rfam family "Bacterial large subunit ribosomal RNA", at positions 1097 to 2465 of the family's 2925-position model. The record is from RNAcentral.